Molecule: ribosomal RNA, 459 nt
Filed under: uncultured bacterium
Lineage: Bacteria
Description: bacterial SSU rRNA
Rfam family: Bacterial small subunit ribosomal RNA
Source: RNAcentral
GAUGAACGCUAGCGGCAGGCCUAACACAUGCAAGUCGAGCGAUCCCUUCGGGGAUAGCGGCGGACGGGUGAGUAACGCGUGGGAACGUACCCUUUGCUACGGAAUAGCCUCGGGAAACUGGGAGUAAUACCGUAUGUGCCCUUCGGGGAAAGAUUAUCGGCAAAGGAUCGGCCCGCGUUGGAUUAGGUAGUUGGUGGGGUAAGUGGCCUACCAAGCCUACGAUCCAUAGCUGGUUUGAGAGGAUGAUCAGCCACACUGGGACUGAGACACGGCCCAGACUCCUACGGGAGGCAGCAGUGGGGAAUCUUAGACAAUGGGGGCGAACCCUGAUCUAGCCAUGCCGCGUGAGUGAUGAAGGCCUUAGGGUUGUAAAGCUCUUUCAGCUGGGAAGAUAAUGACGGUACCAGCAGAAGAAGCCCCGGCUAACUCCGUGCCAGCAGCCGCGGUAAAGUACAGUGU